Molecule: unclassified non-coding RNA, 375 nt
Filed under: uncultured bacterium
Lineage: Bacteria
Description: contains 16S-23S intergenic spacer region
Source: RNAcentral
UCCGAGUUGACCCCGGCAGUCUCCUACGAGUCCCCGGCCGAACCGCUGGCAACAUAGAACGGGGGUUGCGCUCGUUGCGGGACUUAACCCAACACCUCACGGCACGAGCUGACGACAGCCAUGCACCACCUGUGAAGGUGCCCCGAAGGGAGACCGUGUUUCCACGGCUGUCACCUACAUGUCAAGCCCAGGUAAGGUUCUUCGCGUUGCGUCGAAUUGAACCACAUGCUCCGCUGCUUGUGCGGGUCCCCGCCAAUUCCUUUGAGUUUUAAUCUUGCGACCGUAUUCCCCAGGCGGUCUACUUCCCGCGUUAGCUGCGUUACCAAGGAAAUUAAUCCCCGACAACUAGUAGACAUCGUUUAGGGCGUGGACUAC